CCUGAACGCUGGCGGCGUGGCUAAGACAUGCAAGUCGCACGGAGGUAGCAAUACCUUAGUGGCGAACGGGUGAGUAAUGAAUCGCUAAUGUGCCCCGGACUCUGGGAUAGCUGCCCGAAAGGGCAGGUAAUACCAGAUGAUAUAACCGAACCGCAUGGUUUGGUUCUCAAAGGUCCGCCGGUCUGGGAGCAGGCGAUUUCGUAUCAGCUAGUUGGUGAGGUAACGGCNCACCAAGGCGACGACGCGUAGCCGGACUGAGAGGUUGGCCGGCCACAUUGGGACUGAGACACUGCCCCAGACUCCUACGGGGGGCUGCAGUAACGAAUCUUCCGCAAUGCACGAAAGUGUGACGGAGCGACGCCGCGUGUAGGACGAAGCCC
This 380-nucleotide ribosomal RNA is filed under the name uncultured bacterium. RNAcentral describes it as "bacterial SSU rRNA". It matches the Rfam family "Bacterial small subunit ribosomal RNA", at positions 30 to 416 of the family's 1533-position model. The record is from RNAcentral.